AAGGAAUAUUGGUCAAUGGACGCAAGUCUGAACCAGCCAUGCCGCGUGAAGGAUGAAGGUCCUCUGGAUUGUAAACUUCUUUUAUCUGGGACGAAAACGGGAUUUUUAUCUCAAUUGACGGUACCAGAGGAAUAAGCACCGGCUAACUCCGUGCCAGCAGCCGCGGUAAUACGGAGGGUGCGACCGUUAUCCGGAUUUACUGGGUUUAAAGGGUGCGUAGGUGGGCUUAUAAGUCAGUGGUGAAAUCUCCGAGCUUAACUUGGAAACUGCCGUUGAUACCAGAGGUCUUGAAUUAUCUGGAGGUAAGCGGAAUAUGUCAUGUAGCGGUGAAAUGCUUAGAGAUGACAUAGAACACCAAUUGCGAAGGCAGCUUACUACAUAUAAAUUGACGCUGAGGCACGA
This 402-nucleotide ribosomal RNA is filed under the name uncultured bacterium. RNAcentral's name for it is "bacterial SSU rRNA". It matches the Rfam family "Bacterial small subunit ribosomal RNA", at positions 356 to 756 of the family's 1533-position model. The record is from RNAcentral.